Molecule: ribosomal RNA, 411 nt
Filed under: Listeria monocytogenes
Lineage: Bacteria; Bacillati; Bacillota; Bacilli; Caryophanales; Listeriaceae
Description: bacterial SSU rRNA
Rfam family: Bacterial small subunit ribosomal RNA
Source: RNAcentral
UUGGGCACUCUAAAGUGACUGCCGGUGCAAGCCGGAGGAAGGUGGGGAUGACGUCAAAUCAUCAUGCCCCUUAUGACCUGGGCUACACACGUGCUACAAUGGAUAGUACAAAGGGUCGCGAAGCCGCGAGGUGGAGCUAAUCCCAUAAAACUAUUCUCAGUUCGGAUUGUAGGCUGCAACUCGCCUACAUGAAGCCGGAAUCGCUAGUAAUCGUGGAUCAGCAUGCCACGGUGAAUACGUUCCCGGGCCUUGUACACACCGCCCGUCACACCACGAGAGUUUGUAACACCCGAAGUCGGUAGGGUAACCUUUAUGGAGCCAGCCGCCGAAGGUGGGACAGAUAAUUGGGGUGAAGUCGUAACAAGGUAGCCGUAUCGGAAGGUGCGGCUGGAUCACCUCCUUUCUAAGGAA